Molecule: ribosomal RNA, 517 nt
Filed under: uncultured bacterium
Lineage: Bacteria
Description: bacterial SSU rRNA
Rfam family: Bacterial small subunit ribosomal RNA
Source: RNAcentral
UGUUUCUGAUUCCUUCGGGAUGAUGAGACAGACGGAAAGUGGCGAACGGGUGAGUAACGCGUGGGUAAUCUACCCUGUGAGUGGGGAAUAACCCUCCGAAAGGAGGGCUAAUACCGCAUGAUGUCCCUCCCUCAUAAGAGGAGGGGAUGAAAGAUGGCCUCUGUUUAUGCUAUCGCUUCAGGAUGAGCCCGCGUCCUAUUAGUUUGUUGGUGGGGUAAUGGCCUACCAAGACCACCAUGGGUAGCCGGUCUGAGAGGAUGUACGGCCACACUGGGACUGAGAUACGGCCCAGACUUCUACGGAAGGCAGCAGUGGGGAAUAUUGCGCAAUGGGGGCAACCCUGACGCAGCGACGCCGCGUGGACGAUGAAGGCCUUCGGGUUGUAAAGUCCUGUUUUGGGGGAAGAAACCUUCAGGGUCCAAUAGACCCUGGAAUUGACGGUACCCCAAGAGAAAGCUCCGGCUAACUAUGUGCCAGCAGCCGCGGUAAUACAUAAGGAGCAAGCGUUGUCCGGAAU